GGCCACUUUCCGUAGUCUAAGAUCUGAGAAGACUUUCCAGAUGAAAUGUGUUUUCCAUCUAGAAAAUGUGUAGGUGGAGAACAUGUGACUUGCAGCAUUCUGAUAUUGACACUGGAGAGAGGAAUUGGAAUUACCUUUUUCCAACUGUGCCAUCAGGGCCCCUUUGAGUCAAGAGACCCUAUGAUCAAAGGAGCUUGGUGGCGCUUUGGGUUAGGCGUUGGGCUGCUAACUGCAAAGUUGGUAGUUCAAACCUCCCAGCCCUCUGCAAGAAAGAGAGAUGAUUGAUCUGCUUCUGUGAAGAUUUGCAGUCUCAGAAACCCUAUAGAGGAAUCAAAUCCAUGGUAGUGGGGUGGGUUUUGUUUCAUUUUAAAAUAGAGAGUUCCGGUCAAGAUGGCGCCAAGGUCCGGCUGGACCGGAGGAUUGUACACUGGUGCAGGUGGGAGCUGGGGCACAGGGAAUCUAGGACGGAUGGGGCCCUCAGGACCAG
Long non-coding RNA from Echinops telfairi (small Madagascar hedgehog), 487 nucleotides. RefSeq lists it as uncharacterized. Lineage: Eukaryota; Metazoa; Chordata; Mammalia; Afrosoricida; Tenrecidae. The record is from RefSeq and is a predicted model, not a curated record. The transcript is spliced from 3 exons.